This 499-nucleotide ribosomal RNA is filed under the name uncultured Glomeromycotina. RNAcentral's name for it is "partial small subunit ribosomal RNA". It matches the Rfam family "Eukaryotic small subunit ribosomal RNA", at positions 591 to 1092 of the family's 1831-position model. The record is from RNAcentral. Lineage: Eukaryota; Fungi; Glomeromycota.
CCAAUAGCGUAUAUUAAAGUUGCUGCAGUUAAGAAGCUCGUAGUUGAAUUUCGGGACCAAUAUGUCGGUCGUGCUUCGGUACGUACUUUCAUUAUUGGUUUCUCCCUUCUGAGGAACCAUGAUGUCAUUAAUUUGGUGUCGUGGUAAAUCAGGACUGUUACUUUGAAAAAAUUAGAGUGUUUAAAGCAGGCUCGCGCUUGAAUACAUUAGCAUGGAAUAAUGAAAUAGGACGUUUGAUUCUAUUUUGUUGGUUUCUAGGAUCGACGUAAUGAUUAAUAGGGAUAGUUGGGGGCAUUAGUAUUCAAUUGUCAGAGGUGAAAUUCUUGGAUUUAUUGAAGACUAACUACUGCGAAAGCAUUUGCCAAGGAUGUUUUCAUUAAUCAAGAACGAAAGUUAGGGGAUCGAAGACGAUCAGAUACCGUCGUAGUCUUAACCAUAAACUAUGCCGACUAGGGAUCGGAUGAUGUUAAUUUUUUAAUGACUCAUUCGGCGCCUUACG